Molecule: long non-coding RNA, 510 nt
Organism: Pocillopora damicornis (cauliflower coral)
Lineage: Eukaryota; Metazoa; Cnidaria; Anthozoa; Scleractinia; Pocilloporidae
Source: RefSeq, a predicted model, not a curated record
GAAAAUUUACUCCGGCUUGUUAACUGCAAAUAAUUAAAUUACACGAGAAAUUACGUUGCCUCCUAUACCGUGUGUACUUAGCCUUAGCUCCCAAUUGCUGCGAGUCGACUUCUUAUGUUAGCAUACAUAAAUUAACCAGAGACUUUCCAGAUCAAAACAAGUGCAGACUUGAUUUUGGAUUACAAAAGGAGCGCACAAUUCACGCUGAUAAAAUUUAAAAGAGGGUAUGACUCACAAUGAGAAGAGAAUCAACUGGAUACAGGAGGGUUUGAUAGGUCUUGGUGUUGGCGUCCUCUUAAUGGAACUACAAGUGUGGCAGUGGGGCAUCCAUUUGAUACAAUCAAGACAAAGAUGCAAGCACAACAUGGAUUCGAAACAGAAGGAAUGUUCAAAUCAUUUGCAAAGACAGUCAAGUCACAGGGAAUGAGAGGGCUCUAUAGAGGAUGUAUUCCACCUCUUUGGGGAUCUGGAAUUUAUAGAUCAAGUCAGUUUGCUGUUUUUGAAGCCCUG